This 253-nucleotide ribosomal RNA is filed under the name uncultured bacterium. Its description in RNAcentral is "partial 16S ribosomal RNA". It matches the Rfam family "Bacterial small subunit ribosomal RNA", at positions 524 to 776 of the family's 1533-position model. The record is from RNAcentral.
UACGGAGGUGGCAAGCGUUGUUCGGAAUCACUGGGCGUAAAGCGCGUGUAGGCGGUCUGCUAAGUCUGAUGUGAAAGCCCGGGGCUCACCCCCGGAAGUGCAUUGGAAACUGGCAGACUGGAGUCCCGGAGAGGAGGGUGGAAUUCCUGGUGUAUCGGUGAAAUGCGUAGAUAUCAGGAGGAACACAGGUGGCGAAGGCGGCGCUCUGGACGGUGACUGACGCUGAGACGCGAAAGCGUGGGGAGCAAACAGG